Molecule: small nuclear RNA, 141 nt
Organism: Nycticebus coucang (slow loris)
Lineage: Eukaryota; Metazoa; Chordata; Mammalia; Primates; Lorisidae
Product: U4 spliceosomal RNA
Exons: 1
Source: RefSeq, a predicted model, not a curated record
AGCUGUGAGCAAUGGCAGUAUUACAGCCAGUGAGAUUUAUCCGAGGUGUAAUUACUGCUAAUUGAAAACUUUUUCCGAUACCCUACCAUGAUGACUUGAAAUAUAGUCAGCAUUGGCAAUUUUUGACAGUCUCUACAGAGA